GUAGGGAAUAUUGGGCAAUGGAGGCAACUCUGACCCAGCCAUGCCGCGUGCAGGAAGACGGUCCUCUGGAUUGUAAAGCACUUUAAGUUGGGAGGAAGGGCAGUAAGUUAAUACCUUGCUGUUUUGACGUUACCGACAGAAUAAGCACCGGCUAACUUCGUGCCAGCAGCCGCGGUAAUACGAAGGGUGCAAGCGUUAAUCGGAAUUACUUGGCGUAAAGCGCGCGUAGGUGGUUUUGUAAGUUGGAGGUGAAAUCCCCGGGCUCAACCUGGGAACUGCCUCCAAAACUGCAUGACUAGAGUACGGUAGAGGGUAGUGGAAUUUCCUGUGUAGCGGUGAAAUGCGUAGAUAUAGGAAGGAACACCAGUGGCGAAGGCGACUACCUGGACUGAUACUGACACUGAGGUGCGAAAGCGUGGGGAGCAAACAGGAUUAGAAACCCGAGUAGUCC
RNAcentral lists this ribosomal RNA (451 nucleotides) under uncultured bacterium. RNAcentral's name for it is "partial 16S ribosomal RNA". It matches the Rfam family "Bacterial small subunit ribosomal RNA", at positions 354 to 796 of the family's 1533-position model. The record is from RNAcentral.